RNAcentral lists this long non-coding RNA (205 nucleotides) under Carica papaya (papaya). RNAcentral's name for it is "long non-coding RNA (CPAP_LNC009023)". The record is from RNAcentral. Lineage: Eukaryota; Viridiplantae; Streptophyta; Magnoliopsida; Brassicales; Caricaceae.
AAGGAUUAACUGUAGCUGUAUGACAGAACCAAGCCAACCCUUGUCCACACCCUCCCCCUAAAUUCUAAAACACAGAUCGGUCUAUCUCCCACAAUAUAGCAAAGUUUAGGAAACUUAACCCCCCACAUUUUGAAGGUGGCCCUGAUCCUUUAGUAGCUGAAGCCUGGAUCCUAUAAAUAGAGAAGCUCUUCUCUGUACUAGACCU